GGCCAGGUAGCUCAGUUGGUAGAGCAGCGGACUGAAAAUCCGCGUGUCGGCGGUUCAAGUCCGCCUCUGGCCACCA
Molecule: transfer RNA, 76 nt
Filed under: Actinomycetota bacterium
Lineage: Bacteria; Bacillati; Actinomycetota
Description: tRNA-Phe
Rfam family: tRNA
About the family: Transfer RNA (tRNA) molecules are approximately 80 nucleotides in length. Their secondary structure includes four short double-helical elements and three loops (D, anti-codon, and T loops).
Source: RNAcentral